GCGCUCAUAGCUCAGUUGGUAGAGCGCGGCACUAGUAUCCCGGGAUGCCGAGGUCUACGGUUCAACUCCGUAUGGGCGCA
This is a non-coding RNA of Teratosphaeriaceae sp. CCFEE 6253, 80 nucleotides long. The record is from the annotation of a GenBank genome assembly. Lineage: Eukaryota; Fungi; Ascomycota; Dothideomycetes; Mycosphaerellales; Teratosphaeriaceae.